GAAAGCGACGUUCAACCGCAAAAGAAGCAGAGGGGGCUUAGUGGUGGGGUGACUGCGUACCUUUUGUAUAAUGGGUCAGCGACUUAUAUUCUGUAGCAAGGUUAACCGAAUAGGGGAGCCGGAGGGAAACCGAGUCUUAACCGGGCGUUAAGUUGCAGGGUAUAGACCCGAAACCCGGUGAUCUAGCCAUGGGCAGGUUGAAGGUUGGGUAACACUAACUGGAGGACCGAACCGACUAAUGUUGAAAAAUUAGCGGAUGACCUGUGGCUGGGGGUGAAAGGCCAAUCAAACCGGGAGAUAGCUGGUUCUCCCCGAAAGCUAUUUAGGUAGCGCCUCGUGAAUUCAUCUCCGGGGGUAGAGCACUGUUUCGGCUAGGGGGCCAUCCCGGCUUACCAACCCGAUGCAAACUGCGAAUACCGGAGAAUGUUAUCACGGGAGACACACGGCGGGUGCUAACGUCCGUCGUGAAGAGGGAAACAACCCAGACCGCCAGCUAAGGUCCCAAAGUCAUGGUUAAGUGGGAAACGAUGUGGGAAGGCCCAGACAGCCAGGAUGUUGGCUUAGAAGCAGCCAUCAUUUAAAGAAAGCGUAAUAGCUCACUGGUCGAGUCGGCCUGCGCGGAAGAUGUAACGGGGCUAAACCAUGCACCGAAGCUGCGGCAGCGACGCUUAUGCGUUGUUGGGUAGGGGAGCGUUCUGUAAGCCUGUGAAGGUGGCCUGUGAGGGUUGCUGGAGGUAUCAGAAGUGCGAAUGCUGACAUAAGUAACGAUAAAGCGG
Molecule: ribosomal RNA, 776 nt
Filed under: Salmonella enterica subsp. enterica serovar Dublin
Lineage: Bacteria; Pseudomonadati; Pseudomonadota; Gammaproteobacteria; Enterobacterales; Enterobacteriaceae
Description: partial 23S ribosomal RNA
Rfam family: Bacterial large subunit ribosomal RNA
Source: RNAcentral